CCCUUAGGUGUUCUGGGCCGCACGCGCGCUACACUGACGAAUGCAACGAGCUUAUAACCUUGGCCGAAAGGUCUGGGUAAUCUCCAAAUUUCGUCGUGAUGGGGAUAGAUUAUUGCAAUUAUUAAUCUUCAACGAGGAAUGCCUAGUAAGCGCAAGUCAUCAGCUUGCGUUGAUUACGUCCCUGCCCUUUGUACACACCGCCCGUCGCUCCUACCGAUUGAAUGGUCCGGUGAAGCGUUCGGACCGUGGCCUUUGGACGGUUCGCCGUCUGUUGGCUGCGGGAAGUUCGUUAAACCUUAUCAUUUAGAGGAAGGAGAANUCGUAACA
RNAcentral lists this ribosomal RNA (327 nucleotides) under uncultured eukaryote. RNAcentral describes it as "partial 18S ribosomal RNA". It matches the Rfam family "Eukaryotic small subunit ribosomal RNA", at positions 1470 to 1796 of the family's 1831-position model. The record is from RNAcentral.